AUUGAACGCUGGCGGCAGGCUUAACACAUGCAAGUCGAGCGGAGUGAUGGUGCUUGCACUAUCACUUAGCGGCGGACGGGUGAGUAAUGCUUAGGAAUCUGCCUAUUAGUGGGGGACAACAUCUCGAAAGGGAUGCUAAUACCGCAUACGUCCUACGGGAGAAAGCAGGGGAUCACUUGUGACCUUGCGCUAAUAGAUGAGCCUAAGUCGGAUUAGCUAGUUGGUGGGGUAAAGGCCUACCAAGGCGACGAUCUGUAGCGGGUCUGAGAGGAUGAUCCGCCACACUGGGACUGAGACACAGCCCAGACUCCUACGGGAGGCAGCAGCGGGGAAUAUUGGACAAUGGGGGGAACCCUGAUCCAGCCAUGCCGCGUGUGUGAAGAAGGCCUUAUGGUUGUAAAGCACUUUAAGCGAGGAGGAGGCUCUUUUGGUUAAUACCCAAGAUGAGUGGACGUUACUCGCAGAACAAGCACCGGCUAACUCUGUGCCAGCCGCCGCGGUAA
This 503-nucleotide ribosomal RNA is filed under the name uncultured bacterium. RNAcentral describes it as "partial 16S ribosomal RNA". It matches the Rfam family "Bacterial small subunit ribosomal RNA", at positions 30 to 523 of the family's 1533-position model. The record is from RNAcentral.